UUUCAUUUUUGUCUCGUAGCAUUAUUGGUAGUUUUAUUGUUUUCAGUGUUUUUGUUUUGUUUUUUUAAUAAGAUGUCAAUCGAAGCUAAAGAAAAGAAUGGUGCUACUUGUGUGACUUGGAAAACGUUACAAAGUCUCGCAUUUUCGAGCAGAGAAAUAAGUGAAACGUUCGAACUGAACACUCAAGGACGAAGCAACUUUUCCUUUAAAGUUUCAUUUACUCACUGCUUUAAGUUCAAUUGUUUAAGUUUAAAUACUGUUUGCAUUAAACUGUGCUUAUCGCUGAUCAAGUGCUCUACCAACACUAUUAGUUUGUGUGGAGGAAAAGACACCAUCUUUAAUUGUGACCAUAAUCUGCCUUGCUCUGUUUGGGUUACAAUCAACAAUGAUGAAGACAGAAGAAUAAAUUUGGAAAAAGCUGUUGGAUCAGACGAGUGGACUUCAAGAAAAUUUGGUAUCAGAACAUUUGGCUACCCAACCUUCCACUUUUGGUUGCAGUUCAGGACUGAUGAGAUUAACAAGUCCAGCAAAAUCAUCAUGAAACAGCUGACGGACGCCCAGCAAACACCAUUAGCCGAAGAUAAAGACAACGUGAAAGUUCCCAAGUCCAAGGAGUUCUGUCGUGGCAAGCUGAUUGCGCAGCAACUGGAGAAAGUGUUUGUCGAGCAAACGAACUGCGAUGUCGAAUUCUUGUUCGAAGACGAGGAGAAAAUCGGUGGCCAUAUCUCCAUCUUGGCUGCCAGAAGUCCCGUUUUCUCUGCCAUGUUUUACCACAACCUUCAAGAGUCCGAGACGGGCAAAAUCUUCGUCCAAGACAUCCGGCCACAGAUUUUCAAGGAGAUGCUUCACUAUAUUUACUCCGGCCAGACUUUGACUCCUUUGACGGACGCCAUCGCUCAACCUCUGUUCGUACUUUCAGUCAAAUACGAUAUCGAGGACCUGAAGGAGAAGUGCGUCCGUUAUCUGCUGAGAAGCGUUCGGACGAGUAAUGCCGUUGACUUAUUGGUCUGGGCAAAUCUUCAUUCGGUGGAGAAAAUCGAAGAAGCAGCUCUUGACUUUGUGGCCAGAAAUUUCAAAAUCAUUUGUCAGUCGAAUGAAUGGGAGAACCUGAUGAAGAACUAUCCGGAGCUUGGAUUCCUGGUGGCUCGACGUUAUGUAGCUGUUUAAGAAAUACGCCAGCCGAAGAGUUUUGUAUAACUUAAAAUGCGGUUCCAGCGUCACCGCCAAAAUCCACAUGUGUUCACGAUCCUCGCAAUAACAACACGUACACCAUGAUACUGGACACUUGAGCAAGCUAAGGUUGCAGAGAAAUA
Molecule: unclassified non-coding RNA, 1313 nt
Filed under: Daphnia pulex (common water flea)
Lineage: Eukaryota; Metazoa; Arthropoda; Branchiopoda; Diplostraca; Daphniidae
Description: bTB/POZ domain-containing protein At3g56230-like, transcript variant X1
Source: RNAcentral